AUUGAACGCUGGCGGCAGGCCUAACACAUGCAAGUCGAGCGGAAACGAGUUAUCUGAACCUUCGGGGAACGAUAACGGCGUCGAGCGGCGGACGGGUGAGUAAUGCCUAGGAAAUUGCCCUGAUGUGGGGGAUAACCAUUGGAAACGAUGGCUAAUACCGCAUGAUGCCUACGGGCCAAAGAGGGGGACCUUCGGGCCUCUCGCGUCAGGAUAUGCCUAGGUGGGAUUAGCUAGUUGGUGAGGUAAGGGCUCACCAAGGCGACGAUCCCUAGCUGGUCUGAGAGGAUGAUCAGCCACGCUGGAACUGAGACACGGUCCAGACUCCUACGGGAGGCAGCAGUGGGGAAUAUUGCACAAUGGGCGCAAGCCUGAUGCAGCCAUGCCGCGUGUAUGAAGAAGGCCUUCGGGUUGUAAAGUACUUUCAGUCGUGAGGAAGGUAGUGUAGUUAAUAGCUGCAUUAUUUGACGUUAGCGACAGAAGAAGCACCGGCUAACUCCGUGCCAGCAGCCGCGGUAAUACGGAGGGUGCGAGCGUUAAUCGGAAUUACUGGGCGUAAAGCGCAUGCAGGUGGUUUGUUAAGUCAGAUGUGAAAGCCCGGGGCUCAACCUCGGAAUAGCAUUUGAAACUGGCAGACUAGAGUACUGUAGAGGGGGGUAGAAUUUCAGGUGUAGCGGUGAAAUGCGUAGAGAUCUGAAGGAAUACCGGUGGCGAAGGCGGCCCCCUGGACAGAUACUGACACUCAGAUGCGAAAGCGUGGGGAGCAAACAGG
This 769-nucleotide ribosomal RNA is filed under the name uncultured Pseudoalteromonadaceae bacterium. RNAcentral describes it as "bacterial SSU rRNA". It matches the Rfam family "Bacterial small subunit ribosomal RNA", at positions 28 to 776 of the family's 1533-position model. Lineage: Bacteria; Pseudomonadati; Pseudomonadota; Gammaproteobacteria; Alteromonadales; Pseudoalteromonadaceae. The record is from RNAcentral.